Molecule: unclassified non-coding RNA, 352 nt
Filed under: uncultured Ascomycota
Lineage: Eukaryota; Fungi; Ascomycota
Description: sequence contains ITS1
Rfam family: 5.8S ribosomal RNA (bases 1-105)
Source: RNAcentral
GAAAUGCGAUAAGUAAUGUGAAUUGCAGAAUUCAGUGAAUCAUCGAAUCUUUGAACGCACAUUGCGCCCCUUGGUAUUCCGAGGGGCACAUCUGUUCGAGCGUCAUAUCAUCCAGUCAAGCUCAUGCUUGGUGUUGGGCUCUCUCGUCCCCUACUUUUUGGGGGGGACGGGCCCGAAAGAACUCGGCGGCGUGGUCCUGCUCCGGGCGUAGCAGCUAAACCUUUCGCUCGUGGGGCUAGGGUCCACCGCUUCAGCCGUUAAAAAUAGCGGAGAAAAAGGGAGUAACUUCCCCCUCUCUCCCUACAACCAAGAGUUUGACCUCGGAUCAGAUGGGGACACCCGCUGAACUUAA